CCUACGGGUGGCAGCAGUGAGGAAUAUUGGUCAAUGGACGAGAGUCUGAACCAGCCAAGUAGCGUGAAGGAUGACUGCCCUAUGGGUUGUAAACUUCUUUUAUAUGGGAAUAAAAUGUUCCACGUGUGGCAUUUUGUAUGUAUUUUAUGAAUAAGGAUCGGCUAACUCCGUGCCAGCAGCCGCGGUAAUACGGAGGAUCCGAGCGUUAUCCGGAUUUAUUGGGUUUAAAGGGAGCGUAGGUGGGUUGUUAAGUCAGUUGUGAAAGUUUGCGGCUCAACCGUAAAAUUGCAGUUGAAACUGGCAGUCUUGAGUACAGUAGAGGUGGGCGGAAUUCGUGGUGUAGCGGUGAAAUGCUUAGA
RNAcentral lists this ribosomal RNA (359 nucleotides) under uncultured bacterium. RNAcentral's name for it is "partial 16S ribosomal RNA". It matches the Rfam family "Bacterial small subunit ribosomal RNA", at positions 338 to 694 of the family's 1533-position model. The record is from RNAcentral.